This 468-nucleotide ribosomal RNA is filed under the name uncultured bacterium. RNAcentral describes it as "partial 16S ribosomal RNA". It matches the Rfam family "Bacterial small subunit ribosomal RNA", at positions 28 to 507 of the family's 1533-position model. The record is from RNAcentral.
GACGAACGCUGGCGGCGUGCUUAACACAUGCAAGUCGAACGGAAAGGCCCUGCUUUUGUGGGGUGCUCGAGUGGCGAACGGGUGAGUAACACGUGAGUAACCUGCCCUUGACUUUGGGAUAACUUCAGGAAACUGGGGCUAAUACCGGAUAGGAGUUCCUGCUGCAUGGGGGGGGUUGGAAAGUUUCGGCGGGUGGGGAUGGACUCGCGGCUUAUCAGCUUGUUGGUGGGGUAGUGGCUUACCAAGGCUUUGACGGGUAGCCGGCCUGAGAGGGUGACCGGCCACAUUGGGACUGAGGUACGGCCCAGACUCCUACGGGAGGCAGCAGUGGGGAAUAUUGCACAAUGGGCGGAAGCCUGAUGCAGCAACGCCGCGUGCGGGAUGACGGCCUUCGGGUUGUAAACCGCUUUCGCCUGUGCCGAAGCGUGAGUGACGGUAAUGGGUAAAGAAGCACCGGCUAACUACGUG